RNAcentral lists this long non-coding RNA (3012 nucleotides) under Homo sapiens (human). RNAcentral's name for it is "HSALNT0391245". Lineage: Eukaryota; Metazoa; Chordata; Mammalia; Primates; Hominidae. The record is from RNAcentral.
UUUUUCUCUAGCUUACUUUAUUGUAAAAACACAGUACAUAAUACAUAUAACAUACACAAUUUGUGUUGAUUGUUUCUAUUAUCAGUAAGGCUUCUGGUCAACAGUAGACUACUGGUUAAGUUUUUGGAGAGUCAAAAGUUAUACACAGAAUUUUCUACUGUGCAAGAGUUAGCACCUCAACCCUCACAUUAUUCAAGAGUCAACUGUAUAUUCACUAUUUGUAUAUAAAUCUCAGGAAAUAUCCUUUUAUAUGAAAGGUUCUUAUUAACAUCUUCCUGCAAUAUCAUUUUAAUGAGCUGGGGAAAUGAGCAGACUUGCUCUCCUAUAUUUGACUAUCCCAAGAAUUCUCAAGUGAUACAACUUAGCAAUAUUUGUGCGGCCUCUAAAAAAACUGGAAAAUCAGUUCUUAAAGAAUUAAACCAUUCCACUGAGCAGUUUUGCAAAUAUUCAGUUGCCUGUCUGCUGCAGAAAAGCAAUUAGGUUAGUAGAAGAGUACUGCAUGUACUUUUCUGCUUGUACUAGAUCCUGGAGGAUCUAGGACUGCUGUUUUUAAAAAACUUCACAAGCUAAUUUUUAUUUAUUUAUGACCUCUUAUUUCCAGUAUCAUGCAAAGUGUUUUUAUGAAGAUCAGUCUUCACUACCACAGAUUCAUUACUUUUUGGUCCAAAACAAUGGGAUAGAGGAAAAUAUUCUAAAUGUCCUGGACUUACUAAUGACUUAUGUUAUUAGUAAUGAUAGUAGGGUUUAUCUAAGUGUCACCCCCUUCAAAGCUGAAAAAUACACAGGAACAUCAUCAACGGUGCUUAGUACUUCUCAUGUGGCCCCAUGAUCAUCAUGUUUGAGAUACUUCUGCAAGAAGCUCCAAACAGUGAACUACUGAGAGAACACUUGUGGGAAUAUUUGCAGAGACAAACAAAUGUCAUCUUAAAAUACCAGCUACUGUAACUUACCCACAACAAGUAGGCUUCUUGGUCUGUAUUAACCCUGUAGGUACUAUUGUUGAAAUAGGCAUCUCCCCUACUCAGGAAUGUGGGCAAAUCUGAUCAUGCCUCUUUAAGGUUCUAAUUUGACAGAAGCACGUGAAUAAGCAAUCAUUUAGAAGAGUAUAUGCCUCCAAAUCAGAGCAAUACAAAUAAGAGCAGGGAAAGCUAUUUCACUUCACUGCUCAUUUCCCAAGUAUCCAAGUAAAACACUUCCUUAAAGUGUCACAUGCAUUAAAACACAAAGGAGAAAAACAGGCAGAGGUAAGCAAAGUUUAAAUCUGUAAAUCUGUUCUUUAAGACUCCAAUUAAUAAAAACUCAGGGAUUCUACUUGGAAUAUCCUACCCAUAACAUCAUAAUGUCAAUAAUCCAACAGUCAAGAGCCCCAGAAUCAGGGUCUAGAAUGCCAGAUGAAGAAUAGAGAGGAAUCCCCGUGAAUCCUGGGGUUUUGUAUAAUGGCAAACACUAAGAAGUAAGAUAGAAAGAGUGAAAUCCUAUUGACACUGUUGAGUCUGGACACCAUCCUAAAAAUGUCCUGUUUCACUAAUUGGAAGGGCAUCCAAGUAAGGAGAAGCUUGAUGCCAUAUGACAACAUCAGGUACUCAGCUCAUUUCUCUCUCUCUUUCUCUCUCUUUUCCUUUACGUCACCAAGGACAAACUCAGGAUGUUGACAGGACAGACUUUUGUAGGCAAACGGUUUGGCCAAUCUCUCACCAGUAUAUUAACCACAUGGGCAAAGAAAAUAUUUUUUCAAAAUGGAUGUUUUUGCUUUAGGGUGGAGGGAUAUGAUAUUUUUCUUUCUAUCUUAAUUUCCUUCCAUGUUUAUGUUUAAAAUUACUUAGUAAGUAAAAGUAAUGGUUAUGUUAGAUAAAAUUCAUUCACCACCCUUAAUAUGACUCAGUGACUCAAAGACAAAGUUCCAGAGCAAAGGGUCAAUCUUGUGAGAGAGGUCAUGCAGAAUUUACAAAACAAAAUUUAUACAGAACACUCAGAAGUAUAAAAAAGAUGAAGUUCAUUAUUGUUUAUAAUUACUCACUUACUCUGAAGCUACCUUUCCUCCUGCUGGCAGAGAAAAAUUCAAAUUAAUUAAAUUAAUUUUAAUUAAGGGCAACUGACUUUGUUCCUGUUUAAAACAUUUCACUUUGGGAUUAACUCAGCUUCAUUUGGGUAAAUUGCCCAGGAAAUUCAAAGACUGCUUCCCUCCUCUCUUAAGGGGUCACUUUGCCCAUAUCUUCUUCCCAAGGUGAUAUCUGGGGGCAGAGAAAAGCUGGCAUAUAGUCCUUGGAGUCCUGAGUCUUCAGCUACACGCUGGUUUUGUCCCUGAAUGUCCUUGGCUGGUGUUUACUUAGGUGUGGCCAAUUUCACUGUCCUUUAUGGGCAUCCGCUGGCAUCUGCUGCUGAUGUCCAAGGUCUCUGGGUCCCUCAAAUCACCAGCCCUCUAUGGUUUGUGGCCUCUUGCUUCUUAGCCCUGAAGUCUAUACCAAGACAACAUUGUUCUCAGCACCUUGGUGUCCUCUCCCUGGGGCAGACAGGAACUCUGGGCCAUAAGGAACCCUCUACCCUGGAAGAGGGAUGGUGGAAGUUUCACCACUUCCCUACCACAGUAGUCACAGGGGGGACACGGGGGACAAGUCAAGAUGUGUUGACUCUCCCUCAAGCUAUCUGGGCUUUCUGUGAGGGUUUCCAAUGCCUCAUCACACCCUGCCCCAAUUUUGCUUAAGUAAGGUGGGGUUGGGGAGGAAACAGUCAUUUCUCAGUGACCAAGCUGCGGUACACAUCCUGGUUGUGCCCUCUCAAAAUCUCCCUUCCUUCUCCAGGGCAAUGGUUUCUAUUUUCUCUUCCUGUCUGGUGGAAAUUUCCCACAAGUCAUUUCUCCUGCCUGCUCUCCACUUGUGGCUUUGAUCCUCUGUGACCUAGCCUGGCUUUCUAUAUGUUAAUGGAAACCUCCAAGAAUUUUAAAAACUUUUUUCUCUCUCCAUGAAGCCUGAUUUCUAGGACCAUUACCUUGCUGUAGAUUCAAAAUAUUGUCUU